This 70-nucleotide transfer RNA is filed under the name Callopanchax toddi. Its description in RNAcentral is "tRNA-Ile". It matches the Rfam family "tRNA". Rfam says of the family: Transfer RNA (tRNA) molecules are approximately 80 nucleotides in length. Their secondary structure includes four short double-helical elements and three loops (D, anti-codon, and T loops). The record is from RNAcentral. Lineage: Eukaryota; Metazoa; Chordata; Actinopteri; Cyprinodontiformes; Nothobranchiidae.
GGAGUUGUGCCUGAAUUAAAGGACUACUUUGAUAGAGUAAAUUAUAGGGGUUAAACUCCCCUCAACUCCU